RNAcentral lists this ribosomal RNA (254 nucleotides) under uncultured bacterium. RNAcentral describes it as "partial 16S ribosomal RNA". It matches the Rfam family "Bacterial small subunit ribosomal RNA", at positions 524 to 776 of the family's 1533-position model. The record is from RNAcentral.
UACGAAGGGGGCUAGCGUUGUUCGGAAUUACUGGGCGUAAAGAGCUCGUAGGCGGUGUGUCGCGUCGGCCGUGAAAACCUGCAGCUUAACUGUGGGCUUGCGGUCGAUACGGGCAUCACUGGAGUUCGGCAGGGGAGACUGGAAUUCCUGGUGUAGCGGUGAAAUGCGCAGAUAUCAGGAGGAACACCGGUGGCGAAGGCGGGUCUCUGGGCCGAUACUGACGCUGAGGAGCGAAAGCGUGGAGAGCGAACAGG